GUAAGCGCGCGCAGGCGGCUUCUUAAGUCUGAUGUGAAAUCCCUGAGCUCACCUUAGGAAUUGCAUUCGAUACUGGAAAGCUAGAGUAUGGAACACUAUGGUAGAAUUCCAGGUGUAGCGGUGAAAUGCGUAGAGAUCUGGAGGACUACCGAUGGCGAAGGCAGCCCUCUGUCCUAAUACUGACGCUGAGGGACGAAAGCAUGGGGAGCAAACAGGAUUAGAUACCCUGGUACUCCAUGCCGUAAACGAUGUCUACUAGGUGUUGGGGCCUUUGAGCGCUUUAGUGGCGCAACUAACGCAAUAAGCACACCGCCUGGGGAGUACGGUCGCAAGAC
RNAcentral lists this ribosomal RNA (335 nucleotides) under Acinetobacter sp. p62_C01. RNAcentral's name for it is "bacterial SSU rRNA". It matches the Rfam family "Bacterial small subunit ribosomal RNA", at positions 561 to 894 of the family's 1533-position model. The record is from RNAcentral. Lineage: Bacteria; Pseudomonadati; Pseudomonadota; Gammaproteobacteria; Moraxellales; Moraxellaceae.